Molecule: ribosomal RNA, 254 nt
Filed under: uncultured bacterium
Lineage: Bacteria
Description: partial 16S ribosomal RNA
Rfam family: Bacterial small subunit ribosomal RNA
Source: RNAcentral
UACAGAGGUCUCAACCGUUGUUCGGAUUCAUUGGGCGUAAAGGGUGCGUAGGCGGUCGCGCAAGUCGGAUGUGAAAUCUCAGGGCUCAACCCUGAAACUGCAUUCGAUACUGCGUGGCUAGAGUGCUGGAGAGGAGACUGGAAUUUACGGUGUAGCAGUGAAAUGCGUAGAUAUCGUAAGGAAGACCAGUGGCGAAGGCGGGUCUCUGGACAGUUCCUGACGCUGAGGCACGAAGGCCAGGGGGGGCAAACAGG